UUUAUUUGCAUCAGUACAUUCAAACCAUCAUCAGUAGGAUCAUCACCACAUCUCCCUAUUCCAACGUUAUUUACCAAUAUAUCAAUUUUUGCUUCAGUUUUCUUUAAUUUCUCAACAAAAUUCCUAACAGAUUUGAAAGAUGCAAAGUCUACAAGCUCAAGCACAAAAUUUGAGCUUUUUGUU
Long non-coding RNA from Diabrotica virgifera virgifera (western corn rootworm), 183 nucleotides. RefSeq lists it as uncharacterized. Lineage: Eukaryota; Metazoa; Arthropoda; Insecta; Coleoptera; Chrysomelidae. The transcript is spliced from 2 exons. The record is from RefSeq and is a predicted model, not a curated record.